UACGGACUGAAAAUCCGUUGGCUUUAUAGACCAUGAGGGUUCAAGUCCCUCUAUCCCCA
RNAcentral lists this transfer RNA (59 nucleotides) under Porella acutifolia. RNAcentral's name for it is "partial tRNA-Leu". It matches the Rfam family "tRNA", at positions 25 to 71 of the family's 71-position model. Rfam says of the family: Transfer RNA (tRNA) molecules are approximately 80 nucleotides in length. Their secondary structure includes four short double-helical elements and three loops (D, anti-codon, and T loops). The record is from RNAcentral. Lineage: Eukaryota; Viridiplantae; Streptophyta; Jungermanniopsida; Porellales; Porellaceae.